Molecule: transfer RNA, 76 nt
Filed under: Burkholderia multivorans
Lineage: Bacteria; Pseudomonadati; Pseudomonadota; Betaproteobacteria; Burkholderiales; Burkholderiaceae
Description: tRNA-Glu
Rfam family: tRNA
About the family: Transfer RNA (tRNA) molecules are approximately 80 nucleotides in length. Their secondary structure includes four short double-helical elements and three loops (D, anti-codon, and T loops). Further hydrogen bonds mediate the characteristic L-shaped molecular structure. tRNAs have two regions of fundamental functional importance: the anti-codon, which is responsible for specific mRNA codon recognition, and the 3' end, to which the tRNAs corresponding amino acid is attached (by aminoacyl-tRNA synthetases). tRNAs cope with the degeneracy of the genetic code in two manners: having more than one tRNA (with a specific anti-codon) for a particular amino acid; and 'wobble' base-pairing, i.e. permitting non-standard base-pairing at the 3rd anti-codon position.
Source: RNAcentral
GUUCCGUUGGACUUUUGGUAAGGUCAGUAGGCUUUCAACCUACGCAAGCUCGGUUCGAAUCCGGCACGGAACUCCA